RNAcentral lists this transfer RNA (398 nucleotides) under uncultured Microcystis sp. RNAcentral's name for it is "partial contains 16S-23S ribosomal RNA intergenic spacer, and 23S ribosomal RNA". The stretch from base 135 to 208 matches the Rfam family "tRNA". Lineage: Bacteria; Bacillati; Cyanobacteriota; Cyanophyceae; Chroococcales; Microcystaceae. The record is from RNAcentral.
AAGGGAGACCUAAUUCCGGUAGGAGACGAAAAAAAAGUAGUACCUACCGAGAAUCAAUCCCAAAAGGUCGGAGCGAGGCGAAAUUGGCUUUCAAACUAGGUUCUGGGUUCACACAAGACCUGAAUCAGGAACAAGGGCUAUUAGCUCAGGUGGUUAGAGCGCACCCCUGAUAAGGGUGAGGUCCCUGGUUCGAGUCCAGGAUGGCCCACCUGCACAGGUGGCAAAAACAAAGAAGCUCCGAAUCAGCACCUUAUCUUACUUUAUAUAGUAAGAGAGAAUGCUGGCUCUGAGUUCAGAGUCCAGAGGAACCUUGAAAACUGCAUAGAGCUAGGUGAAAAAGCCAAAAAAGAAGACCGCAAGGUCAAGCUAAUAAGGGCUAACGGUGGAUACCUAGGCAC